Molecule: ribosomal RNA, 465 nt
Filed under: uncultured bacterium
Lineage: Bacteria
Description: partial 16S ribosomal RNA
Rfam family: Bacterial small subunit ribosomal RNA
Source: RNAcentral
GAUGAACGCUGGCGGCGUGCUUAACACAUGCAAGUCGAACGGAAAGGCUCCUGCUUGCAGGGGUACUCGAGUGGCGAACGGGUGAGUAACACGUGGGUGAUCUGCCCUGCACUUCGGGAUAAGCCUGGGAAACUGGUUCUAAUACCGGCUAGGACGAUGGUUUGGAUGCCAUUGUGGAAAGUUUUUCGGUGUGGGAUGAGCUCGCGGCCUAUCAGCUUGUUGGUGGGGGAAUGGCCUACCAAGGCGUCGACGGGUAGCCGGCCUGAGAGGGUGUACGGCCACAUUGGGACUGAGAUACGGCCCAGACUCCUACGGGAGGCAGCAGUGGGGAAUAUUGCACAAUGGGCGCAAGCCUGAUGCAGCGACGCCGCGUGGGGGAUGACGGCCUUCGGGUUGUAAACUCCUUUCGCUAGGGACGAAGCGCAAGUGACGGUACCUGGAGAAGAAGCACCGGCUAACUACGUG